GGUUUACCUGUGUGACUGCGUACCUUUUGUAUAAUGGGUCAGCGACUUAUAUUCUGUAGCAAGGUUAACCGUAUAGGGGAGCCGGAGGGAAACCGAGUCUUAACCGGGCGUUAAGUUGCAGGGUAUAGACCCGAAACCCGGUGAUCUAGCCAUGGGCAGGUUGAAGGUUGGGUAACACUAACUGGAGGACCGAACCGACUAAUGUUGAAAAAUUAGCGGAUGACCUGUGGCUGGGGGUGAAAGGCCAAUCAAACCGGGAGAUAGCUGGUUCUCCCCGAAAGCUAUUUAGGUAGCGCCUCGUGAACUCAUCUCCGGGGGUAGAGCACUGUUUCGGCUAGGGGGCCAUCCCGGCUUACCAACCCGAUGCAAACUGCGAAUACCGGAGAAUGUUAUCACGGGAGACACACGGCGGGUGCUAACGUCCGUCGUGAAGAGGGAAACAACCCAGACCGCCAGCUAAGGUCCCAAAGUCAUGGUUAAGUGGGAAACGAUGUGGGAAGGCCCAGACAGCCAGGAUGUUGGCUUAGAAGCAGCCAUCAUUUAAAGAAAGCGUAAUAGCUCACUGGUCGAGUCGGCCUGCGCGGAAGAUGUAACGGGGCUAAACCAUGCACCGAAGCUGCGGCAGCGACACUCAGGUGUUGUUGGGUAGGGGAGCGUUCUGUAAGCCUGUGAAGGUGUGUCGUGAGGCAUGCUGGAGGUAUCAGAAGUGCGAAUGCUGACAUAAGUAACGAUAAAGCGGGUGAAAAGCCCGCUCGCCGGAAGACCAAGGGUUCCUGUCCAACGUUAAUCGGGGCAGGGUGAGUCGACCCCUAAGGCGAGGCCGAAAGGCGUAGUCGAUGGGAAACGGGUUAAUAUUCCCGUACUUGGUGUUACUGCGAAGGGGGGACGGAGAAGGCUAUGUUGGCCGGGCGACGGUUGUCCCGGUUUAAGCGGGUAGGUGUGUGUUCCAGGUAAAUCCGGUCCACUUUAACACUGAGGCGUGAUGACGAGGCACUACGGUGCUGAAGCAACAAAUGCCCUGCUUCCAGGAAAAGCCUCUAAGCAUCAGGUAACAUCAAAUCGUACCCCAAACCGACACAGGUGGUCAGGUAGAGAAUACCAAGGCGCUUGAGAGAACUCGGGUGAAGGAACUAGGCAAAAUGGUGCCGUAACUUCGGGAGAAGGCACGCUGACACGUAGGUGAAGUGAUUUACUCA
RNAcentral lists this ribosomal RNA (1196 nucleotides) under Salmonella enterica. RNAcentral describes it as "partial 23S ribosomal RNA". It matches the Rfam family "Bacterial large subunit ribosomal RNA", at positions 582 to 1772 of the family's 2925-position model. RNAcentral also lists the same sequence under 1 other name. Lineage: Bacteria; Pseudomonadati; Pseudomonadota; Gammaproteobacteria; Enterobacterales; Enterobacteriaceae. The record is from RNAcentral.